UUUUCCAUUUAUCUUUUGUGUUUUCAGGUUUUAAAAUGCCUGAGCCAGCCAAGUCCGCUCCUGCCCCGAAGAAGGGCUCCAAGAAGGCGGUGACCAAGGCCCAGAAGAAAGAUGGGAAGAAGCGCAAGCGCAGCCGCAAGGAGAGCUACUCUGUGUAUGUGUACAAGGUGCUGAAGCAGGUCCACCCGGACACUGGCAUCUCGUCCAAGGCCAUGGGCAUCAUGAACUCCUUCGUCAACGACAUCUUCGAGCGUAUUGCGGGCGAGGCAUCACGCCUGGCGCAUUACAACAAGCGCUCGACCAUCACCUCCAGGGAGAUCCAGACGGCCGUGCGCCUGCUGUUGCCCGGGGAGUUGGCCAAACACGCCGUGUCCGAGGGUACCAAGGCUGUCACCAAGUACACCAGCUCCAAGUAAAUUUGCCAAGUAAGCGUCUUUACACCUAACCCCAAAGGCUCUUUUAAGAGCCACCCACGUGUGCACAGAGAGAGCUGUAAUCUAUGUACGUUAGACUUGCAUUAAUGGGCCUAAGGACUGACGGAACUAGUACGUUAAUCUGAAUGAGAAAUUAUAAAAACACUGAAAAGGAGGCUGGUGUAUUGUAAUAUCAGUUUAAAAGGCUUGCAAUUCGACAAGUCUCCAUCACGGCUGAACUGAGGGCUAGUAACGGAAGGCGGGGAAACUAGGCGGGCUGAGGAAAAGGGUCGCAAUUGUAUUUAGCAUACAUUGUGAAGCACACAAAAUUCCCAAACCAGGCAGUCGCUGGGCGGGACGGGUUGGGGGAGGGGAAGAGCGCACCUCGUAGUAACGUAUCCAUUUUCUAAAAAAGGUGAGUAGACUAAAGGCAUAAAAUCUGUGCUACAAAGGAAACAAACCCUGUGUUCCUCAGUGCUAAGUUUUCUUUGACACCUGCGAAAAACAGACCUGUCUGACGCUCGCUAGUCAGGCCUCCAUUGGAACAGUUCCACAAUCACUGGCUGCCUAACCUGGAAGGUAUGCUAAAAAAUGAUGUGCAGCCCCGGCCUAAAUAACGUACAAGUGUAAAUAUAGGUCAAUGGCAUAUGCUUUUCACACCAGCUCCUCAAACUAUGUUUCCAAGUCCCUUAACAGCUGUCAUAGGAUUUUUUUUUUCUAUACCUCUAGUGAGCCUGCCCCAUGCUUGAGGAUCCGAAUCAGACCAACCUCUCCUCACUGCCUAAUCUGUUUACCCAAAAUAGGUUCAAACAUGGGUUUGAAAAUUAGGUUCAAACAUAGGUUCAGAAAACCCAGGCUGCCUACAAGAUUUUUAUUUCGUUCUCUUCCUGUUUUUCUCACAUAUAAAUUCUGGUUUGUCUGUUGGAUGAAGUAAUUCUUGCUUGAUUUCUCUUCAGUACAAGAGCAGGCUGGCUAAUCAUUAACACUUGACAGUUUAUUUCUGAAAAGUCCACCGAGACAUUGUUUACCUGAGUCCUACCUUAGGAAUCAAUAGAAAUGUGACCUGAAUAUAUACCUCGUUUAGCCCUGGGCACUUUUGAGUUUCCUGUUUCUCUUACCUUGGCUGCAUGCUGAAAUUUAUUUUUGCCCAGUUUUCUUCUUGAUUUGGUGCUUAGAUUGGAUACACAUUAGUGGUUUUAUGAUUAGAUCAUUAGGUGAUUGGCGCAGUGGUAAAGAAUUCAAUCCACCUGCCUGUGGAGGAGAUGCAACCAUCCCUGGAUCAAGAAGAUCCCCUGGAUCUUGUAGAUCUUCUUGGAGUAGGAAAUGGCAACCCAACUCCAGUAUUCUUGCCUGGAAAAUUGACUGAAGGACUGAGCCGGAGCAACUGAUCGCCCACACACAGAGGAGCAAAUGGGCUUUAGAAAAGUAUUUUCCCACUACUGGUCACUGCUGGACUUUAUUAUAUCUCAAAAAUAAGUCAAUGAAAAUGACUGAUACCAGAAGCAGAUAAAAGAUAUUUUCAACAAUCAUAGAAAAAUCAAUGAGAACCUGGCUAAGGCAUUUAUUUUGAGUAUAAAAAUAUUAAAUGGUUAUUUGAGAAAUUUGCAAGAAGAAAAAUACAUAACAAAAUUAAAUCUUAGUAUCUCUUUUCUAUAAGACCUAUGAAUAUAUAAAUAUGAACAUAUAUGAGAUUCACCUAUAAAAAUAUGUCAUUUAAAAACCAAAUUUAAGUAUCAUGCUAUGUAUGUACACAUAUCGAGUUUUCUAGGUAAUAUGCCUAGAAACACAUUUUUUAAUGGGUAUAUUAUUACCUAUGCAAGUAGUCCUCUGUUACUGGCUAUUUAGAUUGAGUUCCAUUUUUAUGCAUUAUAAAUCAUAUAGGUCACACUUCUUUGUAUGUAAAUCUCUGUUUAAAUAUUUAUUUCCUUAGAAUAGACUUCUAGAAGUAGAAUACUAAAUCCCAAGGUAAAAUCAUUUUUUAAUGUUCUUAAUAUAUACAUUGUCAAAUUGCCUUUCAGAAGGACUAUGCCAGUUUAUAAUCCCAGUAUAAUUUUAAAAGUCUUGUUUUCAUAGCUGUCAUUUUUACUGAGAACACUUUUAAAGCAUUGUUAACCAGAUAGAUUAAAAAAAAAUUGAACUGUAAUUUCCUUUAUUAUGAGUAGAGGUAGUAUUUUUUCCCAUGCUUUUACUAGCCAUGACCCCAUAAAAAAUAAACUGCUGUAAAAUAA
Molecule: RNA transcript, 2641 nt
Organism: Bubalus bubalis (water buffalo)
Lineage: Eukaryota; Metazoa; Chordata; Mammalia; Artiodactyla; Bovidae
Gene name: histone H2B type 1-C/E/F/G/I
Exons: 2
Source: RefSeq, a predicted model, not a curated record